AUAUUCUGCCCUAUGAUUUAUAUUUAAAUGGCUGCAGUAUUUUAACUGUACAAAGGUAGCAUAAUAAUUAGUUUUUUAAUUGAGGACUGGAAUGAAUGAUUAAAUGAAAGAUUUAUUAUAUAAUUUAUAUCUUUUAAAUUUUAUUUUUAGGUAAAAAAGCUUAAUUAGUUUCUUGGGACGAAAAGACCCUAUAGAAUUUUAUUUAAUAAAUUUAAUUAAUUUUUAUCUAACUAUUAUCUAGUUUUAUUAAGUUUAAUUGGGGUGAUUAAUAAAUUAAAACUUUAUUUAAUAUUAUCAUUAAUUUAUGAUUUAUUAGAUUAAAAUUAACUAUUAUAAGAAAAAAUUACCUUAGGGAUAACAGCGUAAUUUUUAUGGGGAGUUCAUAUCUAUAUAAAAGUUUGCGACCUCGAUGUUGAAUUAAGAUAAAUAUACAAAGAAGCAUUUUUAUUAUUAAGUC
RNAcentral lists this ribosomal RNA (457 nucleotides) under Typhlocybini sp. 2 LL-2020. RNAcentral describes it as "partial large subunit ribosomal RNA". The record is from RNAcentral. Lineage: Eukaryota; Metazoa; Arthropoda; Insecta; Hemiptera; Cicadellidae.